This 239-nucleotide unclassified non-coding RNA is filed under the name Hevea brasiliensis (rubber tree). Lineage: Eukaryota; Viridiplantae; Streptophyta; Magnoliopsida; Malpighiales; Euphorbiaceae. The record is from RNAcentral.
GCAAAGGACGCUCCUGCCAGUUGGGUUGUGAUGCAUCGGUGAUAAUAGCAUCAACGGCAGGGAACACAGCAGAAAAAGAUCACCCAGAUAAUCUUUCAUUGGCUGGAGAUGGAUUUGACACAGUUAUCAAAGCAAAAGCCGCAGUUGAUGCGAUCCCAAGUUGUAAAAAUAAAGUUUCUUGUGCUGAUAUUCUUGCCUUAGCCACUCGAGAUGUUAUUCAACUAUCCGGUGGACCGGGG